RNAcentral lists this transfer RNA (37 nucleotides) under Platerodrilus tujuhensis. Its description in RNAcentral is "partial tRNA-Ser". Lineage: Eukaryota; Metazoa; Arthropoda; Insecta; Coleoptera; Lycidae. The record is from RNAcentral.
UAACUUUAAAAAGAGCAAGAGUUCAUAUUUCUUCAAA